GGGCCCGUAGCUUAGUUUGGCAGAGCACUUGACUUUUAAUCAAGGGGUCGGGGGUUCAAAUCCCCUCGGGCUCA
This 74-nucleotide transfer RNA is filed under the name archaeon CG06_land_8_20_14_3_00_37_11. RNAcentral's name for it is "tRNA-Lys". It matches the Rfam family "tRNA". Rfam says of the family: Transfer RNA (tRNA) molecules are approximately 80 nucleotides in length. Their secondary structure includes four short double-helical elements and three loops (D, anti-codon, and T loops). RNAcentral also lists the same sequence under 2 other names. The record is from RNAcentral.